GAUCCCUUGCAUUUAUGCAGCCUAGAUGAACAACUUAGUCCGGAUCACUACCGGAGCGAGCCAGCCUAAUGGGUCGAACAGCUGUGCCCGAGUGUGGAGGCACCCGAGGCGACGUCGUCGACGUAUCUGCUACGGCUACGCCGAAGUGUCUAUCGGAAACCGAGCUUUCUCAUCUUCGGUAAGCUGAUCUAGCGUACGGACAGCGAGGAACGGAGCACACGCCAAUCCAUCACGGUCCUCCGGAUGUACCAGGAUCUGACGGUUUGACGAUGUCAGUGACAAAGUAAAGUGACGUAAAGAUACCACCGCCAGGGGAGGAGGAUGUCUGAUAGAGCCGACAGUAGGUUGGGUCCUACCAGCAGAUGA
Long non-coding RNA from Temnothorax curvispinosus, 366 nucleotides. RefSeq lists it as uncharacterized. The transcript is spliced from 3 exons. Lineage: Eukaryota; Metazoa; Arthropoda; Insecta; Hymenoptera; Formicidae. The record is from RefSeq and is a predicted model, not a curated record.